AAAAAUUAAACAAAAUAAAACAAAAAUAAAAUAAAAUAAGACAAAAAUAAAAACUAGUCCUAUUAUUCAGUCACCCGGAAGAAAUUGGGUGUUGACAGAAUUAAAGAAAUUCGUUGAAUUUGUUAGUGAAUGAAAGAAAUGCGUUGAAUUUGUUAGUGAAUUGAAGGAUUUGUNGAAUUUGUUAGUGAGUUAAGGAAAUGCGUUGAAUUUGUUAGUGAAUUAAAGAAA
This 228-nucleotide long non-coding RNA is filed under the name Vigna radiata. RNAcentral describes it as "long non-coding RNA (VRAD_LNC011630)". Lineage: Eukaryota; Viridiplantae; Streptophyta; Magnoliopsida; Fabales; Fabaceae. The record is from RNAcentral.